GAUGAACGCUGGCGGCGUGCCUAAUACAUGCAAGUAGAACGCUGAAGGAAGGAGCUUGCUCUUUCCGGAUGAGUUGCGAACGGGUGAGUAACGCGUAGGUAACCUGCCUGGUAGCGGGGGAUAACUAUUGGAAACGAUAGCUAAUACCGCAUAACAGUAGAUGUUGCAUGAUAUCUACUUAAAAGGUGCAAUUGCACCACUACCAGAUGGACCUGCGUUGUAUUAGCUAGUUGGUGAGGUAACGGCUCACCAAGGCGACGAUACAUAGCCGACCUGAGAGGGUGGUCGGCCACACUGGGACUGAGACACGGCCCAGACUCCUACGGGAGGCAGCAGUAGGGAAUCUUCGGCAAUGGACGGAAGUCUGACCGGGCAACGCCGCGUGAGUGAAGAAGGUUUUCGGAUCGUAAAGCUCUGUUGUAAGAGAAGAACGAGUGUGAGAGUGGAAAGUUCACACUGUGACGGUAUCUUACCAGAAAGGGACGGCUAACUACGUG
Molecule: ribosomal RNA, 497 nt
Filed under: uncultured bacterium
Lineage: Bacteria
Description: partial 16S ribosomal RNA
Rfam family: Bacterial small subunit ribosomal RNA
Source: RNAcentral